Amblyraja radiata (thorny skate) is the source of this 160-nucleotide long non-coding RNA. RefSeq lists it as uncharacterized. The transcript has 3 exons. Lineage: Eukaryota; Metazoa; Chordata; Chondrichthyes; Rajiformes; Rajidae. The record is from RefSeq and is a predicted model, not a curated record.
CUGUGCAAUUCAUUGCUGCAGAAGGUUGCGGAGACUGUCAUCGGGUAUAUUUAAAGCGCAGAUUGAAGGUUCUUGAUUAGUCAGGGCAUCAAAGGUUAUGGGGAGAAGGCAAGAGAAUGAGGUGAGGAGAUAUAGAUCAGCCAUGAUUGAAUGUCGGAGU